Caenorhabditis brenneri is the source of this 84-nucleotide non-coding RNA. The record is from Rfam. NCBI's taxonomy places the organism in Eukaryota, Metazoa, Nematoda, Chromadorea, Rhabditida, Rhabditidae.
GCCAGGGUGGCCGAGUGGUGGAAGGCAACAGUUGUAAAACUGAAGGGCAUGCUCCUAAUGCAGGUUCGAAUCCUGCCCCUGGCG